UGCAGUCGNNCGGUAACAUUUCUAGCUUGCUAGAAGANGACGAGUGGCGGACGGGUGAGUAAUGCUUGGGAACUUGCCUUUGCGAGGGGGAUAACAGUUGGAAACGACUGCUAAUACCGCAUAAUGUCUUCGGACCAAACGGGGCUUCGGCUCCGGCGCAAAGAGAGGCCCAAGUGAGAUUAGCUAGUUGGUAAGGUAACGGCUUACCAAGGCGACGAUCUCUAGCUGUUCUGAGAGGAAGAUCAGCCACACUGGGACUGAGAUACGGCCCAGACUCCUACGGGAGGCAGCAGUGGGGAAUAUUGCACAAUGGGGGAAACCCUGAUGCAGCCAUGCCGCGUGUGUGAAGAAGGCCUUCGGGUUGUAAAGCACUUUCAGUUGUGAGGAAAAGUUAGUAGUUAAUACCUGCUAGCCGUGACGUUAACAACAGAAGAAGCACCGGCUAACUCCGUGCCAGCAGCCGCGGUAAUACGGAGGGUGCGAGCGUUAAUCGGAAUUACUGGGCGUAAAGCGCACGCAGGCGGUUUGUUAAGCUGGAUGUGAAAGCCCCGGGCUCAACCUGGGAUGGUCAUUUAGAACUGGCAGACUAGAGUCUUGGAGAGGGGAGUGGAAUUCCAGGUGUAGCGGUGAAAUGCGUAGAUAUCUGGAGGAACAUCAGUGGCGAANNCGACUCCCUGGCCAAAGACUGACGCUCAUGUGCGAAAGUGUGGGUAGCGAACAGGAUUAGAUACCCUGGUAGUCCACACCGUAAACGCUGUCUACUAGCUGNGUGUGUCUUUA
Molecule: ribosomal RNA, 780 nt
Filed under: uncultured bacterium
Lineage: Bacteria
Description: bacterial SSU rRNA
Rfam family: Bacterial small subunit ribosomal RNA
Source: RNAcentral